GCAAUGCACCCACGCGAGUUGCUCCAAGUAAGGGAACAGAACCGGCAGGCACGCUUCUCCACCUUCAGCGAGCGACUCAGGAGGAAGUGUCCUGAGAGGCUCACGCUGUCUCACCGCACACACGCCUGCGUGCACACAUACACACUGUGUCCUAUGCAGUUGCCCGGGUGCCCCUUCAUGCCCUCAACUGUGUAACACUGUCCAUCCUGGUGAACCGGGAAAGCAAGAGACUCUGCAUAGGACUGUAGAUAGAAGCAUUCAAACUAAGAAUUUCGAAGCUAUUUGCCCAUAAGCGAGGCUGGAAAUCACACAGGCGACCGCACACUCUCUGCCUGCCAGGACCCGCUCACCUUGCUGGCCGCCUCGCUUUGUUCUCUGAGGUCAUCAUUUUCACUCUGCAGCUGUUUUGCAUCUAACAUGGGAAGGCGAAUUCCAUCCUCAAGGCAUCUUUCUACUUUGUGCUGCAAACUGUUUUAGAAAGAUCAGUGUAUGAGGAAAAGAAGCUCUAUUUAUUGAUCUGGGCCAAUGACUUCAACGUAAUGAUGUUCCUCCUAAGGAGAUUUUUUAAUCAAGACCCACAGGAAGCACAUGAGUAAGCACAACCAUGUUUCACACAAGGAAAGUCGGUAAUGAUCUGGGGCUGAUGAUGUCCUUAGAAACGGCAAGGCUGAGACCAGAGUUGCUUAGCACGUGACACCUCUACGUAUAGGCCAAACCCCGAAUUUUGUCCUCUAGCUUCUCGUUGUUCCUUCUCUAAGAAGAGCUAGGAAUACGGGUCCAUGUCUAUGGCCCUGCAUGUCAGCUCAGCGGCAGUUUCCCUGUAAGGGCAAUGGUGACCUAAGCCUGCAACAUAACAUGUCCUCUUCACUGGCAAGAGCAGCACUUUACAGUGUUUACAGCUUGGCUAAAUGGUUUGAGCUGCACCGGCAGCAGAGACAAACAGCAGAAGGAAUCCCUCUGGCACAUUAAACAUAAAAGAAGGAAGCAGAGAAAGUGCCAGCUUUGAGAAAAGAACAGCAGUAAUGUUCAGUUUCAAAGAAACCAUAUCAUUAACAGUAAGGGCCAGAACCCAAACUAUUAACAGCUGCAAGAAUUCUAGAGAUGCCCCCGCUUUAGCUGAUAAUCAUACUCGAGAGUUGUAGGAUACCAAAAGGUUUCUUAUAAUUGCAUUUUGAUAUUUUCUUUUUCCAAUUAUUAUGCCUACCUGAAGCUUUUUCCAUCCUCCAAAAGAAACUUGGCCUAUUUAUUAGUUCUUUAACUAACAAUCUUAUUGUACCUAGGUGGUACAAUAAGAGCUUCAGGCCCAUUUAUAAAUAAUGUCACUGGAGACAUUUUUCUGUAUCGUUAGUUAUCAUAAAGUAUUUGCUUUCUUAACCAAAAGUGAAAAAUAUCUAUUUCUGACUAAGUUCUUUCUCAGUUCAGUGUCAAGAUACUAUCUUCCAUACACUUAAAGCAUUUCAAGACAUUUCAAGAGAUAAAAUGCACUAAAAAUAAUAGUCUUUAAGGUAAAGAGAAAAAACAUCGCAAAAAUAUUCCCCUUUACACUGGCAUCCAUGUCCUGUAAUACAUUCUUCCAGCAGCAUAACUACUACUGUCCAAACAUCUCUGGUGGAGUACUUUUCUUAACUUAUAAACCCCAAAUGUUCUGAGGAAUUCAUGAAGCACGAAUCACAGAAUUACACACAAUGAUUAAAUAUUAUGAUACAGUUCCUGUCACAUAAGUUUUUGAAGUUACGAGGAAGUGGAGACUACACCCAAACCACCAGAGUUGUGACACACCACCACAGUGCUGAAGAACGACACGUAUGCUUCUCUGCUCUGUGCCUCCAUGUGAAAAAGCAACAGAAAAUUCUAGAAUGACGCCAUCUCAGACUACAUCAAGUCAAGUCAAAAGUUAGCAAUAUUUUCUGAAAUGCACUGUACCAAGUCUUCCCAAACCAAGAAUUCCAGACUUAAGUGUGCUCCAAAAGCCUACAUAAAAGGAAGUCUACAUAGAAGAAACAAAAACCUGCGUAUGUAAAAACACACAGUGGAAUGGAACACAUGCAGCUACACAGUUUGGUUUGGGGUGGCGGGGCUGACAGCACAGGACAGACACAUGGUGUCUGCUUUUUACCAGUGAAGGUGAAAGGAAAACCACGGCUCAAUUCCUGAGGAUCAGGAAGCUGUUUUGAGACUAAGGAAUUGGUAUAAGGUACAGAGUUACACAAAAGGGAAACUGAAGAAUCGGCAGAAAAUAAGACCAAAUCGCAGGUAUGUGACUCCUUGGAGCUGAGGUAAGGCAUGCUGAAGACUGAAUUACCCUGGAAAUGAGAACUUUUUUCAGCAUCUAAAAAAUCAUUUUAAAAGGAUAGACCAGGUAUAUUUAAGAUUCGGCAGGAGGAAAGCACUAUUACAUGAAAUGUGUACUAAAUCAUAUGGGACUGCUUUAAAAGGUGAAUAUACAGGGGCUGGGGUUUUAGCUCAGCGGCGUAAGCGCCUGCCUUGCAAGCAGGCAGUCGUGAGUUCGAUCCCCGGUACCGAUAAAAAGGAAAAAGACCAAAAAAAAAAAAAAAAAAAAGGUGAAUAUACUGAGUUUAUAAUUAUGUAAACACAAAGGCAUUUCAUUGACUUGUGUUUAUUAGUACCUUUGCAGUUCAUAAUAACUGCAUGUAAUAUAGGGAGUUGGUACAUACACAAAAAGAAUUAACCUUCUCUCCCCUUCCCCUCCUUCUAUCUCUAGAUGCUCUUCCCAUUUGCAAGAGUUCGCGCCCUGUUUCCUAUUUUCUGUCUCUGAUUCUGCUCUUUAUUUGUACUUUGGCUUUAUUACACAAGAAAAACUGUUACAUUUAAGCGUGUGUGUCUGAUUUAUUUCACUGGCAUCAUGGUUAUGAAGUACAUCUGCUUUCCUACAAAUGACUGAAGUUUAUCUCUUUUUUUUUUUUCUUGGUACCAGGGAUCAAACUCACAACCUCAUGCCUACCUUUAUCCUUCUUUAUAUCAUAAUAGUACAUACUCCACUAUACAUAAAUUCCCCAUUCUCUUUAUCCAUUCAUUUAUUGGUGGACUUAUAAGCUGCUUCUAAGAUCUAACUACUGUGCUGCUUAUACACAGGUCAGCAUGUGUCACCCUGUAAUAGCAAUCUUGAACUCUUUCAGGAAUAAACCUAUAAGAGGAAUAACUGGGCUGAUAUUUCUAGUUUUUUUAAGGAAUCUUCCUAUUGAAUUUUAAAUAUACAAGUUUAUACUUCCACCAAUAAUGUAGAAAGGUUCCUUUUCUCCACAGUCUCAACUGCAUUUGUUAUUGUUUGAGGUUUUGAUGAUGACUGUUUGUAGGGAGCCCUUGAAGCUGGAGACUUAUCACAUGUGUGGGGCUAAAGCAAGGCCAUCCCUGAAAACACAGAGAGCUCAAAACCAGCCACAUGAAAAAGCUGUUCCAGCGCCAAGAAGACAAGGGGCCCAGGCUGGCCAGGAAAACACGUUGCUAGGCAGUGGGGUUGAAGCUGACAGUCUUCUUUGGAGGGUAUAAAUAAAUGUGCUACAAGGGUUGAGCAGUUGCUUCCCUCCUAUGAGGAGGGUAAGGGCUCCACCUGAGCCCAGCUUUGUCUCCUCUUUAUUUUCUCAUCUUCUGGCAGUCCUUCCCUCAGGGAAUUCGAGUUAUCUAUAGCUGCAGCUAGUGGCUGCAGCCAUUCUUUCUGAAGUAAAAUGAAAUCUGUGCUGUUUUAAUUUGCAUUUUUCUAAUGGCCAAUGAUACUGAACAUUUUUUCAUGUAUCUACCGACCAUUUGUGCUACUUCUGAGAAAAGUGUAUUCAUUUCAUUUGCCUAUUUCUUGUCUGGAUCUUUUAUUGGGGGGAGGGUAUAAUUUUUUGAGUUGUUUAUAUAAUCUACAUAUUAGUCCUUUAUUCAAGGAGUAACUGGCAAUUUUGUUUUCCUAAUCUGGAAAGUGAAUUUCUUACAUUUAAUUUUGGUGCUUUGUAAUGUUUUUCAGGAUUAUUUCAUCUAUCUGUAGUCAACAGCAUAAAGGUUUAAGUUUUGCCCCCAAAAACCAUGUCUAUGUAUGCAUCUUAAGUUCCUCAGGAAUCCAACCUUAAAUUUCCAAGCUUAAACACAUACCCUAAAAACACUACACAUCCUCUCCACCAUUUCCUAGCUGCACUAACUCAGAGAUGCUGCAUGUGUGGGCUGUUUGAGAGUCCUGCAGUCACCACUGUCUGGGGCACGGCCACAGGCGGCAGCACAUCUUGCUGGCCCCUUCUUCCAUUAUUUAGAAGUUUUCUGACAAAGCUAUCAGCUUUUACUUAAUUGUGCAGUCUUCAACUGUCAAUUUUGUUCUUUUUCAUUUUUACUCUUCUCAUCUAAAACCUUUGGAAAGAUGCAUGCAAAUGAAUUUUAACUGUAUCAAUGAAAUUCUAUUUCUGAUUUUUUGGUUUUUAUUUUUUACUUUUUUUUUUUUUUAAAUUCGGUACCAGGGAUUGAACUCAUGACCAUGUGCUUAUAAGGCAGGCGCUUAUGCUGCUGAGCUAAAUCCCCAGCAUAUUUCUGAUUCUUAACAGUACACCUUUAAGAAGAACAAUCUGUAAUAAUAAUUACAAAUUGUUUUAAAUGAAAUGCUUAAAAAAUACAAACGGUUUUGGAAGACAGGCUGAGUUGAUAACAACCAAAGUACAUAAAUAAACUAAAUGCUUGUAUUGUU
Long non-coding RNA from Cavia porcellus (domestic guinea pig), 4672 nucleotides. RefSeq lists it as uncharacterized. The record is from RefSeq and is a predicted model, not a curated record. NCBI's taxonomy places the organism in Eukaryota, Metazoa, Chordata, Mammalia, Rodentia, Caviidae. The transcript is spliced from 2 exons.